ACGCCCGUCACAUCACGAAAAGUGGGUCGUACUAGAAGUCGGUGGGCUAACCGCAAGGAGGCAGCCGCCCAAGGUAUGAUUCAUGAUUGGGGUG
Molecule: ribosomal RNA, 94 nt
Filed under: uncultured bacterium
Lineage: Bacteria
Description: partial 16S ribosomal RNA
Rfam family: Bacterial small subunit ribosomal RNA
Source: RNAcentral